Molecule: long non-coding RNA, 543 nt
Organism: Peromyscus leucopus (white-footed mouse)
Lineage: Eukaryota; Metazoa; Chordata; Mammalia; Rodentia; Cricetidae
Exons: 2
Source: RefSeq, a predicted model, not a curated record
CUUCCGCCCCUCAGAGAGACGGGGGAUCUCUGUUUCCUCUGAUUGCACUGUCCUGGGGCCUUGGGGACUUGCCCCAACCCUCCAACAGAACAGGAAGUGAUUCCAAACCCGAAGGGCCCCCACACAGAGGUCCUGUCCCAACCUCGCCCUAGAACAGAGCCAGAGCUGGAAGCCAGGAAGCUGUGCUGUGGACCUGGAAUUUCCUGAUGUGAUGCUAUCACAUGGCUGACUACUAGCCAUGAGAAGCUCACUGCCCUCAUGAGACAACACAGGCCUUCUUGGGAAGAAUGAACAGAAAAGAGGAUUUGCUGGACACUGGCCAUGCUCCACAGCCAGUUGUUUCUCACAGAGGACCAGCCAGCGUAGGAUUAUUCCCACUUUAACAAGGAGGAAACUGAGGCUCAGAGAGGUGAAGCACAUUUCUCCAGGUCACAAAGCUGAGUGGGCAACAAAGUUGGGAUAUUCAAACCCAGGACUGUGAAAGUCAAGGGUAUUUCCUUUCUUGUUUGUUUGUUUGUUUAUUGUUUUUUCGAGACAGGUUUC